UAUAAAUCGAUCUGAAUCCGAAGGAAUAAGACCAUGAUUAUCGGCGUCUCUUAUGGGGGUAUUUAGGUUUAUUUAUGAUUAAAAAUAAAAGAAAAAAUGAAUUACCUUAAGCGACGUCUCUUAAUCUAGCGACACAAGCGACGUCUCUUAAUCUCUCCGCGACGCAGAAGAAAUUCGUCGGCCUUUAUUCUCCCAGAAUCUCUUUGAUCGAAUCCUAUUGCAGUUUCUGGGUUGAUCCGCCAUGGAAACGCUAAGUGGAAACGAAGAAGAAACAGAACCAGAGAAGCAAAGAGAUUCCUAUUGCAGUUUCUGUCAUAGGGCUAGAGAGCUUCAGGGUAGGUCUUACCCCUACAGUCUUCUACAUUCCUGGUUUCAUCACUGACCAAGAGCAAACUCAGCUCCUCAAUCGUAUAUAUGGAGCAUCUGGUUUCAAGUGGAAGACGUUAAAGAACAGAAGAUUACAGAACUGGGGUGGUAUGGUCCAUGAAAAGGGUCUUGUUCCACAAGAGUUGCCUUCUUGGCUGACAAAGAUUACCACGAAAAUUCAUGAAAGCACGGGUCUUUUCCCUUCUGCUAUAAAUCAUGUCCUCAUCAAUGACUUAACUUCCUGACCAGGGGAUAAUGAACAAAACCGUGAACUAGAGGUUGAAACAACAAUUACAGGAAUCCUUGCGACAGAAUCUGACAUUACUAGGUGUGAACUUGGCAAAGAUGAACGCAUAUACUGGUAAAAUUUCAAUACUGCUUUUUCUUUUUAACUGCUGGGUUGUGUUUUCUUCUAGGGAUAAAUGUUUGAUAAUAUUUUUUUAAGAACCCUAAUUUAAGAGACUAGCAUUGGAACAGAAAAAUGUUGAUGUCUCUUGACUAAGUUCUUAACCAACAAUUAUUAUUAAAAAAAUCAUUAAGAGACUCUAAUGGGGUUGUAGGGUUAAUCAUGCUCUAAGGCAAAUACAUUGUAUAAUCUUCUUGGUUAAGUGUAUAUGCUACUAUUCAACCCGAUAAAAUAAUAGGUAGAGACAAAAGUGUAGGUGUUAUCAUUUACGUUAGGUAAUAGAAUGGUUUUGUUUGAACUGAAUUCUUAUUGGAUGUUGUGAUUGACUUCUGAUCUUGUAAAUAUAUAUCUGAAAAUAACAUUAAUAUUUUCCUAAACAUCUGAAUCACUUUUUAUUUUUUGAUUUUUUUCUUAUUCCUAUUAUAUUUAAUUAUCUGGUAAUAGAUUUCUCAAUAUUUUAAAUAUAUGGUGGUGAGAUUUUAAAAUAAAAUAUGGAAGUGUUAAAUUUUAAUAAUGUAAUUUAAUUUAAUUGUAUAGUAUAUUUUACUCAAAUGAUUUUAAAAUUGUGAAUUUUGGGUUUAAUUAAAUUAAAUAUUUUCUGAAAUAACAUAGAAACAUCCAUGUAAAAAAUUAAUUUUUGCAAGUUUUUUUUUAUGUUUACUCUCUAGCUUUUUACACGUAUCAGUUACACACAAAAACCGUCAAGAAGAAUCAUGGAUCUUUAAAUACAGCACUUUACAGCCUAGUUAUUAUCGAUGAGGAAGAUAUGAUUUUAUUGGUAAUGGAACUCCAGCCGGAGUCCCUGCCCUGGGUUCAAGUAGCCUUAGCCACCUUCCCGCCUAUAACCGUACGUGUCCGGAUGGAAGGUCUCGUGGGGAUUAGUCUGGGCUUACCGUUUGGGAUCCUCCACGUUUUAUUAAAGUUAUGAGACAAAAUUGUAAUCGAUUCAACCCAAAUGAAAAUUAGUUAGCCGAUUCUCAAUACUUUUCAAUUUCAAAUUUUAUACCACUGACUAUAGAUACUAUUGUUUUAGUGUUAUGAUUACUAAGUUAUCUAUAAGUAUAAUUUAUGUUUUAUUGCU
Brassica napus (rape) is the source of this 1853-nucleotide long non-coding RNA. RefSeq lists it as uncharacterized. NCBI's taxonomy places the organism in Eukaryota, Viridiplantae, Streptophyta, Magnoliopsida, Brassicales, Brassicaceae. The record is from RefSeq and is a predicted model, not a curated record. The transcript is spliced from 7 exons.